CCUACGGGUGGCAGCAGUGGGGAAUAUUGCGCAAUGGGCGAAAGCCUGACGCAGCGACGCCGCGUGAGGGAUGAAGGUCUUCGGAUCGUAAACCUCUGUCAGCAGGGAAGAACGGUCACUGUGCUAAUCAGCAGUGAAUUGACGGUACCUGCAAAGGAAGCACCGGCUAACUCCGUGCCAGCAGCCGCGGUAAUACGGAGGGUGCGAGCGUUAAUCGGAAUUACUGGGCGUAAAGCGCUCGUAGGCGGUAUGUCAAGUCAAGGGUGAAAUCCCCGCGCUCAACGUGGGAACGGCCUUGGAAACUGGCAAACUGGAGUGUGUGAGAGGAUAGUGGAAUUCCAGGUGUAGGAGUGAAAUGCGUAGAUAUCUGGAGGAACAUCAGUGGCGAAGGCGACUAUCUGGCACAUAACUGACGCUGAGGAGCGAAAGCGUGGGUAGCAAACAGGAUUAGAUACCCUUGUAGUC
This 465-nucleotide ribosomal RNA is filed under the name uncultured bacterium. RNAcentral describes it as "partial 16S ribosomal RNA". It matches the Rfam family "Bacterial small subunit ribosomal RNA", at positions 338 to 795 of the family's 1533-position model. The record is from RNAcentral.